This is a non-coding RNA of Carassius gibelio (silver crucian carp), 459 nucleotides long. Lineage: Eukaryota; Metazoa; Chordata; Actinopteri; Cypriniformes; Cyprinidae. The record is from the annotation of a RefSeq genome assembly.
AGAGAAUAAGAAACACACACAAUGAUGCUCCGUUCUGUCAUUAUGUUUUCUGUUUUUGCAUAUGCAGCAUAUGGAAAUGAAAUUCAAUCAACCAAAACUUUGGAGUUUGCUGAGGAAGGUUCAAGUGUUACAUUAACCUGCAGUUAUUCAUCUGCAUUAACUCUCUACUGGUACCGUCAGUAUCCCGGAUCAGCUCCUGAGUUUAUUGUGUUCAUCUCAGAUGGAUCAACACCACAUCAGAAGUCUAUUGUAGAUUCCAGAUUCACUGCCAAAGUCACCAAAGACAAAGAAAACCAUGUGGAUCUGAAGAUCUCCUCUGCAUCUACAUCAGACUCUGCUCUGUACUACUGCGCUCUGGAGCCCACAGUGACAGGAAACACAAGAACACUGUACAAAAACCUGUUUCACAGUAUUGCAUCUACAUCACACAUAUCCAAGCUCCAUAUCUGCUUUAGGUAA